CUAACGUCUCAGUUCAGAUUGCAGGCUGCAACUCGCCUGCAUGAAGUCGGAAUUGCUAGUAAUCGCAGAUCAGCAUGCUGCGGUGAAUACGUUCCCGGGCCUUGUACACACCGCCCGCCACACCAUGGGAGUCGGUAACACCCGAAGUCGGUAGCCUAACCGUAAGGAGGGCGCCGCCGAAGGCGGGAUUGAUGACUGGGGUGAAGUCGUAACAAGGUACC
This 221-nucleotide ribosomal RNA is filed under the name uncultured bacterium. RNAcentral describes it as "partial 16S ribosomal RNA". It matches the Rfam family "Bacterial small subunit ribosomal RNA", at positions 1280 to 1500 of the family's 1533-position model. The record is from RNAcentral.